CCCGCUGAGUUUAAGCAUAUCAAUAAGCGGAGGAAAAGAAACAUGCAAGGAUUCCCUUAGUAACAGGGAGCUAACCGGGAACAACCUAACCUUAGAAUCGGGCGGCUCCAUCGUCUGAAAUGUAGUCUAGAGAAGCGUCCUCAGCUGAGGACCGGGCCCAUGUCCCCUGGAAGGGGGCGCCAAAGAGGGUGAGAGCCCCGUGGUGCCUAGACCAUGCCAUACCACGAGGCGCUAUCUACGAGUCGGGCUGUUUUGGAAUGCAACCCAAAUCGAGCGGUGAAUUUCGUCCUAGGCUAAAUACAAGCGAGAGACUAAUAACGAACAAGUACCACGAGGGAAAUAUUAAAAGGAAUUUGAAAAGAGAGUCAAAGAGUGCUUCAAAUUGUCGGGAGGGAAGUAGAUGGAGGCUAACGAUGCACCCCGGUCGGAUGUGGAACGGUGACGAGCUGGUCCACCGAUCGACUCGGGGGGAACUAUGCCUGAGCGGGGGGAAGCCAAGGUCAUGGAUAGGAUAAUUCUUCAUAUGAAUCUUAAGUUGCCUUGAGGCAUAGGCAACAACUUUCCCAUUUUGCAUAAGCACACACCCUAACCCAAUUCUUGAGUCAUCACAAUAAACCACAAAACCAUCAGGCCCUUCCAAUAAAGUCAACAUCGGAGCAGAAGUAAGUCUAUCCUUCAACUCUUGAAAA
This is a non-coding RNA of Solanum tuberosum (potato), 689 nucleotides long. NCBI's taxonomy places the organism in Eukaryota, Viridiplantae, Streptophyta, Magnoliopsida, Solanales, Solanaceae. The record is from Rfam.